GCCGGGGUGGCGAAAUGGAAAACGCGACGGACUUAAAAUCCGUUGGGCUUUACUGCCCUUGCGGGUUCGAUUCCCGCCCUCGGCACCA
This 88-nucleotide transfer RNA is filed under the name Candidatus Latescibacteria bacterium 4484_107. RNAcentral describes it as "tRNA-Leu". It matches the Rfam family "tRNA". Rfam says of the family: Transfer RNA (tRNA) molecules are approximately 80 nucleotides in length. Their secondary structure includes four short double-helical elements and three loops (D, anti-codon, and T loops). The record is from RNAcentral. RNAcentral also lists the same sequence under 2 other names. Lineage: Bacteria; Pseudomonadati; Candidatus Latescibacterota.